RNAcentral lists this ribosomal RNA (471 nucleotides) under uncultured bacterium. RNAcentral's name for it is "bacterial SSU rRNA". It matches the Rfam family "Bacterial small subunit ribosomal RNA", at positions 28 to 507 of the family's 1533-position model. The record is from RNAcentral.
GACGAACGCUGGCGGCGUGCCUAACACAUGCAAGUCGAGCGGAGAUAAGCGGAUGGUAACUGAAGCUUAUCUUAGCGGCGGACGGGUGAGUAACACGUGGGCAACCUGCCUUGAAGUGGGGGAUAACACCGGGAAAUCGGUGCUAAUACCGCAUAACAUACACAAACUGCAUGGUAAGUGUAUCAAAGGAGCAAUCCGCUUUAAGAUGGGCCCGCGGCUGAUUAGCUAGUUGGUAAGGUAACGGCUUACCAAGGCGACGAUCAGUAGCCGACCUGAGAGGGUGACCGGCCACACUGGAACUGAGACACGGUCCAGACUCCUACGGGAGGCAGCAGUGGGGAAUAUUGCGCAAUGGGGGGAACCCUGACGCAGCAACGCCGCGUGGAGGAAGAAGGUCUUCGGAUUGUAAACUCCUGUCUUCUGGGACGAAUAAUGACGGUACCAGAGGAGGAAGCCACGGCUAACUACGUG